GACGAACGCUGGCGGCGUGCUUAACACAUGCAAGUCGAACGGAAAGGCCCCCAUCUUGGUGGGGGUGCUCGAGUGGCGAACGGGUGAGUAACACGUGGGUGAUCUGCCCUGUACUUCGGGAUAAGCUUGGGAAACUGGGUCUAAUACCGGAUAGGACCAUGGUUUAGUGUCUCAUGGUGGAAAGAUUAUUGUUUUGGUGCAGGAUGAGCUCGCGGCCUAUCAGCUUGUUGGUGGGGUAAUGGCCUACCAAGGCGUCGACGGGUAGCCGGCCUGAGAGGGUGGACGGCGACAGUGGGACUGGGAUACUGCCCAGACUCCUACGGGAGGCAGCAGUGGGGAAUAUUGCAGAAUGGGCGCAAGCCUGAUGCAGCGACGCCGCGUGGGGGAUGACGGCCUUCGGGUUGUAAACUCCUUUCGUUAGGGACGAAGCCGCACUUUUUUUGGGUGUGGUGACGGUACCUUUGUUAAGAAGCACCGGCUACCUACGU
RNAcentral lists this ribosomal RNA (488 nucleotides) under uncultured bacterium. Its description in RNAcentral is "partial 16S ribosomal RNA". It matches the Rfam family "Bacterial small subunit ribosomal RNA", at positions 28 to 506 of the family's 1533-position model. The record is from RNAcentral.